RNAcentral lists this ribosomal RNA (253 nucleotides) under uncultured bacterium. Its description in RNAcentral is "partial 16S ribosomal RNA". It matches the Rfam family "Bacterial small subunit ribosomal RNA", at positions 524 to 776 of the family's 1533-position model. The record is from RNAcentral.
UACAGGGGGUGCAAGCGUUAAUCGGAAUUACUGGGCGUAAAGCGCGCGUAGGUGGUUUGUUAAGUUGGAUGUGAAAGCCCCGGGCUCAACCUGGGAACUGCAUCCAAAACUGGCAAGCUAGAGUACGGUAGAGGGUGGUGGAAUUUCCUGUGUAGCGGUGAAAUGCGUAGAUAUAGGAAGGAACACCAGUGGCGAAGGCGACCACCUGGACUGAUACUGACACUGAGGUGCGAAAGCGUGGGGAGCAAACAGG